Molecule: long non-coding RNA, 1517 nt
Organism: Salvia miltiorrhiza (redroot sage)
Lineage: Eukaryota; Viridiplantae; Streptophyta; Magnoliopsida; Lamiales; Lamiaceae
Exons: 4
Source: RefSeq, a predicted model, not a curated record
CAUUAACGUCAUCUUGAAAGGGCCCCUGCCCUCAUGGGUGAAGUUUAAUGUUGACGGGUCCAUCCACGGGGGAGUUAUUCACGGCGACAAUGUCUAUCGGGAUGAGUUUGGUAAUGUGCUCGACUAUUUUCACUUUUCCGAUGGUCGAGAGAGGCUUUUGAAGCGGAGUUUUUUGCUCUCCUGAGCGCUCUUGAGAUUGCCUACUAGCAGGGCUGGAGCCAUAUAUGGAUCGAGAUGGACUCCAUGUUUGUUACUCAGGCCUUCGCCAGUCAAUCUCUUCGGAUUCCACGGCGAUACGUGGGGCGUUGGGCGCAAAUUCGAGCCAAACUUCCCUUUCACCGUGUACGCGUCACUCAUAUAUACCGUGAAGGGAACCAACUGGAGGAUCACAUAGCCUCCCGAGUCCAGUCUGAAGCUUGGUGGGAUCAUGCAAUCCCUGAGAUUUCCUAUCUUGUCGCAACGGAUGUGGCCAGGCCCUUCUUUGUUCGAAUGGUGAAUUAGGCGGGGGCUGACUGUCUUAUUUUGGCGGUUUGUUUAUCGUUGGGGUUUUGUCUUGUUUAUUGUUUUAGCUUGUACUUCUAGUUUAUUCGCUCCCUUCGGAGUUUUUCACUUGAGCAUACGUCUUGGGUAUAUCUUAUGUGGCAAAACAAUUCCACAUAAGUUAUUUUAUUUAAAUUUUAAAUUUAAUUUCUAAAUUACCUAAAAAUGAAUCGAGAAAUAGAAAUCCCUAAAAAUACUUCAUCUUCCCCAUUUCAAUACAAAUCAUAACAGACCCCCGUCACCGACAUCACCUUCGUGACAACAUCGAGCAAUGGUUUGCCACCACCACCGCCAGCGCCGUCUGCCCCGUCACCAAGCCGCCACCUCAUCCAAGCAUGGUGCACCGCAAACGCCAUCGAUCAGAUUCCCACCCCCAAAUCCCCACUCCAAAGAUCGUUUGUCAUCAAACUAAUCCGCGAUGUCAACUGAAGAGACGAUUCUCCUCCAUGUAUUUUGGACUUAAGGCGGAAUAGGCACCUGUGCUCAUCGUAUAGCAAACAGAUGGACAUAAGUAUCUUAAAGCAAACGAAGAGCCUGACCAGAUUGAGUCGUGGGUGAAAGAUUAUUUGGGGAGGAAUGGAGACAUUAAGACCAGCUCUGCAGCGAGUUUACAUGACCAGAACUUCUGCUUAUAGAGAUGCACUUAAAAGUUUUAUUGAAGGCUAUCAAGAGGGUAUACAACAUGCUAUGGAGAAGAAGGAAGAUUCCAAAAAUCAACAAGGACCUGACCAUCCAAAAGGAUAAAUUUCAUUCAUAUGACACGAUUAUAAAUGAGCUUGGGUAAUAAGUGGGUAUUAUUAUACGAGUUCGGGACAAGAUUCAGUUGUAACAUUAUUUUUUUUGUAUGACUAUAUAUAUUUUUUUUUACUUUUUUAAUCUUAAUUUUGUUAUUUAGUUUAUUUAUAUUAAUAUUUACUUUGUAAUGUCGAUUUGUUACUGUGAAAGAUAAUUAAUUAGUGCAACAAUUUAUUUUUAUA